CCCUUAGAUGUUCUGGGCCGCACGCGUGCUACACUGAGUGGAUCAGCGGGUCAGGUUGCGCGAAAGCGUUUCCUAAUCUUGAAAUCCGCUCGUGAUGGGGAUUGACGGUUGCAAUUUUCUGUCAUGAACGAGGAAUACCUUGUAAGCGCGAGUCAUCAUCCCGCGCUGAAUACGUCCCUGCCCUUUGUACUCACCGCCCGUCGCUCCUACCGAUUGAGUGGUCCGGUGAGGCUUUGGGAUCUGAGCGGAAAGAGCGUUUCGCUCGUUCUGCCCGGAAAACUCAGUCGAACCUUAUCAUUUAGAGGAAGGAGAAGUCGUAACA
This 322-nucleotide ribosomal RNA is filed under the name uncultured eukaryote. RNAcentral describes it as "partial 18S ribosomal RNA". It matches the Rfam family "Eukaryotic small subunit ribosomal RNA", at positions 1470 to 1796 of the family's 1831-position model. The record is from RNAcentral.